UGGGGAAUUUUGGGCAAUGGGCGAAAGCCUGACCCAGCAACGCCGCGUGAAGGAUGAAGUCCCUCGGGAUGUAAACUUCGUAAGAAUAGGAAGAAUAAAUGACGGUACUAUUUGUAAGGUCCGGCUAACUACGUGCCAGCAGCCGCGGUAAUACGUAGGGACCAAGCGUUGUUCGGAUUUACUGGGCGUAAAGGGUGCGUAGGCGGCAUAUCAAGUCACUUGUGAAAUCUCCGGGCUUAACUCGGAACUGCCAAGUGAUACUGAUGUGCUAGAGUGCAGAAAGGGCAACUGGAAUUCUUGGUGUAGCGGUGAAAUGCGUAGAUAUCAAGAGGAACACCUGAGGUGAAGACGGGUUGCUGGGCUGACACUGACGCUGAGGCGCGAAAGCCAGGGGAGCAAACGGGAUUAGAUACCCAAGUAGUCCCUGAGCGGGCUGGCAAGGCGCAU
RNAcentral lists this ribosomal RNA (447 nucleotides) under uncultured bacterium. RNAcentral's name for it is "bacterial SSU rRNA". It matches the Rfam family "Bacterial small subunit ribosomal RNA", at positions 355 to 825 of the family's 1533-position model. The record is from RNAcentral.